AGAGUUGAAUGGGAAAAAAGAUUCAUUUAGCUCAUCUCACCUAGUUUGGGAUCAAAGCUUCGUAGUUUUGUUGUUGACGUGGCUAGCUUAGAAUAUGCCACGUCAUUGGGGUCUAAUUGCUUUACCUGUUUGAACCAUUUCUGGUUAGAUUGGUUCAUUGAUUAUUUGUGCAAUUUAAGCAGGUCAAGUGGAGUUUCAUGUAAAAGGGCCACAAGCUCAAAGUAGAUAGACUAUUGGGCUGAUUUGCAGUCUAACUAGUGAUGGUGAUUGGGAUCUGACAACACUAUAAUUGCAGAGUAAACGCCAAUUUGAGGAUUUGCCCCUUUAAAUUUGCAGUAAGAGCCGGUUAAGUCCAAAUUCAUAAAUCAAGGCAAAUUGGACAUGGAAAAUUUGCAAACCAAAUCAAUUAUAUCCAAAUGUGGUUCAAUGUAAAACAUAAACCAUUAAAGGAAUUAAAGCAUUGAGUAAAAGAAUAAAAAUGUUAGGUAUUUUACAUUUGAUCUCUAAGAUUUGUCAAAAACUACAAGCUGGUACCUCUCUUUUGCCCUUUCCUCUCUCAACUCUACCUUCGUUCCUCCUAAAAUACCACAACAAUGGCAUGAUACUCGAAUAACUCGAUCAUCACCGCCACUACCAAUCAACAAAUUUAAUCUCAUUCCAAAGUUAAUAAAAAAAAAAAUUCAAAAUCAACCAAUCCUAUAUCAAAAACACCAAAAUCAAUAAAUCAUAUCAAUUUCAAAAUUAAAAAAAAAAAAAUUCAAUAACCAAACAAAUCCUCAAAGUCAAAGCUUCUUAAAACCCAUUAAACACCGAAAAUUUUACUAGUGUACCAACAACACAAAAUAUUUCUACCAUCAUUAACUCUACGAGAAAAAGAAACUUAAAACAAUUGGCAUGUUUAAGUCUAGCAGAAUUGAAACAUCCAAAAUUUAGGUAAAAAAAAAAGAGCAAUUAGCAGCAGCAAUAAUAAUAACCAAGCCUUAAUCAAAACUAGUUGAGGUUGGUUAUGUGGAUCCUUUUUUGCCUUUUAUCUCAGAGACUAAAUCCGCCUGAAUUUCGAAAACUUGUAAAUCCUUUCACAUCACUUCCCUCCAUGUUAUCUUAGGUCUUCCUGUUCUCCUUCUCAUUCUUUCUCCAACUAACUUACCACACUUCUGUACUAGGAUAUUUUAUUUUCUAUGUUGGACAUAACCAAACCACCUUAGUCGACUCUUAUCUCAUUUUAUCUCUAAUAUGUGUUAUAUACAUUCUCUUGUAGAUGUGAUCAUUCCUUAUCUAUUAUUGUGUUAUCAGACAUCUAUAUUGACAUCCACAUUUUUGCCACAUUUUUCUUGUGGGUAUGUUUUAUCUUGGUUGCCCAACAUUCACUCCUAUACAACAUAGCUGGUUUGAUCACAGUCCUAUAUAAUUUGCCUUUAUUUUGUUAGGGGUCGAAUAAUACACUUGUCGCACCCCUACAUUUCAUCCAUUUCUUGUUGAUCAUAUGGGUUACAUCUUACAUCACCAUCUAAAGCUUCAUCCUUCUGUAUGAUUGAACCUAAAUACUUGAAUUGAUUGUAUUUUACCACUUAAACUUAUGAAUAUCUUCUCCAUUCCUUCUAUAAGAGCUAAACUCACAUGCAUACAUUCCAUAUUACUUUUACUUAGCCUAAAACCUUACUCUAAAGAGUCCUUCUCCAAAACCCCAAAUUUUAAUUAACUCACUAAGACCACUUCAUUUGUAAAUAACAUGCUCCAUGUGACAUCAUCUUGAAUAUGAAUGGUUAGCUUAUCCAUAAUUAAGGAAAAAAUAGGUACAGAUUCAGAGAUGAUCUUUUACUAUAAAUCCACUUAUAUUGGGAAUUCAUUCGUGUCACCUCAUAAUAUUCUUACUCUUGUAACUGCCCCUUCAUGCAUGUCCUUAAUAAUAUUUAUAAAUUUGAUAUUAACUCAUUUCUUUUCAAUCACUCAUCAAAGAAUAUUACAAUUUUAACAAGAGAUAUAUGUAUAUUAAUAAGAUUAUAUUUCUAACUUAUAUUUCUAACUUAUAUUAUUUUUAUUUAAUAAAUUUAUAUUGUACAAAAGUUGAAAAAGAAAAAAAUAAAAAGAAAAAAGAGAAUCCUUGUGGAGAAACUCGCCCAAUCCCACACCUCGAUGGGGAAGUUCUCGCCUUGACCUCAAUACUCUUUGGUGUGGGGACGGAGGCUGGAAGUACCUUUUGGUUUAAUAGAUUCAAAACAUAAGAGCUAAUUAAUAUAAUUUCCAAAAUAAAGAGACUAAUUAGUAAAUAAUGGUAAACUCUAAAAUCUAAAUAAUAAUUCUUCCAAAAAUUUACUAUGAGAAGAGAAUGAAAAUAUUGUAAAUUGCUAAAUUUAAAAAAAAAAAAAAAAAUUCUGGCCAGUGGCUCAACUCUCAAGUGGUUCCUGUAUUAUCAUGCUU
This 2418-nucleotide unclassified non-coding RNA is filed under the name Hevea brasiliensis (rubber tree). Lineage: Eukaryota; Viridiplantae; Streptophyta; Magnoliopsida; Malpighiales; Euphorbiaceae. The record is from RNAcentral.